UACGGAGGGUGCAAGCGUUAUCCGGAUUCACUGGGUUUAAAGGGCUCGUAGGCGGUCCAUCGCGUCGGGAGUGAAAAGCUGGGGCUUAACCCCAGUCCUGCUUCCGAUACGGGUGGACUAGAGGUAGGUAGGGGAGAUCGGAAUUCCUGGUGUAGCGGUGAAAUGCGUAGAUAUCGGGAGGAACACCAGCGGCGAAGGCGGCACUCUGGGCUGGUACUGACGCUGAGGCGCGAAAGCGUGGGGAGCAAACAGG
This 253-nucleotide ribosomal RNA is filed under the name uncultured bacterium. RNAcentral describes it as "partial 16S ribosomal RNA". It matches the Rfam family "Bacterial small subunit ribosomal RNA", at positions 524 to 776 of the family's 1533-position model. The record is from RNAcentral.